Molecule: long non-coding RNA, 815 nt
Organism: Trichomycterus rosablanca
Lineage: Eukaryota; Metazoa; Chordata; Actinopteri; Siluriformes; Trichomycteridae
Exons: 3
Source: RefSeq, a predicted model, not a curated record
UCCCUCCGGAACUUGUUGCUUCUGUGGAACUGCUCUUCUCAGAGGACCAACAGUGUGGAGGUUUCCAGAUGAAGCCUGUGAAGAAGGAAGAACCUGAAGAUACAGAUGAACUCAAAAUUUCAGGUGAAGGAACCUCGAUCCCUGAGGAACACCUCACCCCAGAGGACCAACAGUGUGGAGGUUUCCAGAUGAAAUCUGUGAAGAAGGAAGAAGCUGAAGAUAAAGAUGAUCUCAGUCUGUUCUGACCAUUCAACAAGGUCCCUUAGAAAGUUCCAGGAUGAGAAUCAUACAGAAGAGACUUUCUACAGCCAGUCCUCUAAAUAUCUUGUGGUUCUGUAGGAAGACGUUCUGACCUCAAGACCUCACUAACGUCUGUAAUUUCCCAGUGAAGAUCUUUGGAGAUUCUCUGGCCACCCGAGUAAUCCUCCUCAUGUUCUCCUUCAGGCAGAAUCUCAACAUCUCCAGUAGCUCCAGUGAACAGCAUGAUAAUGCAUCAAGCUUAUGCAGGUUUUUUUUAAAGCAGUCCACAUGGACCCUUACUCCAUUUCACAGCUUCUAACUCACCUGUACCAGGUCCUGGGUGUUCAGUCUAUCAGAUUAAUUCAGCUGGUACCACAAACCUGAUGGACUCUCCAUAUUCAUAUAAAGUAAAUGUUUUCUAACACCUCAGUACAGAAGAUAGGCUUUUGUUGUGAAACUGCAGAUGGAGUUGUUUUUUUUCUUUGACCCUGCAUGGUUUGCUGGGGGGCGUGUAUUCUGUGAGUAAGUGGUACUGAAAGUGUGCCGGCUGGAAUAAAGUUGGGGAUUAACUCUGA